GGGGUGGUGGAAUUGGCAGACACACAGGACUUAAAAUCCUGCGGUAGGUGACUACCGUGCCGGUUCAAGUCCGCGCCGUCCCUC
RNAcentral lists this transfer RNA (84 nucleotides) under Bacillus velezensis. RNAcentral describes it as "tRNA-Leu". The record is from RNAcentral. Lineage: Bacteria; Bacillati; Bacillota; Bacilli; Caryophanales; Bacillaceae.